RNAcentral lists this transfer RNA (72 nucleotides) under Sphaerobolus stellatus SS14. RNAcentral describes it as "tRNA-Ala (AGC) (tRNA-Ala-AGC-15-1)". It matches the Rfam family "tRNA". Rfam says of the family: Transfer RNA (tRNA) molecules are approximately 80 nucleotides in length. Their secondary structure includes four short double-helical elements and three loops (D, anti-codon, and T loops). Lineage: Eukaryota; Fungi; Basidiomycota; Agaricomycetes; Geastrales; Sphaerobolaceae. The record is from RNAcentral.
AGGCAUGUGGUUUAGUGGUAUAACAUUUGUUUAGCAUGUGAAAUGUCCGGUGUUCAAUUCGCCGCUUGUCCA